CGAGAGGAUUCAGUCUGGGGGCGGUGGAUGCGGUGGUCGGAAGUUCGUAGGGCUUCCCCGAGCGGGGGCCGUCCGGCCGCGCGUCUUCUGCCGUCUCCGACGCAUUUGUCUCUCGUCCGAAGGACGCCGCAGCCGGUUGGGCAGCGAAAGCGUGACGGCCUGAAGGCGGGGUAAUGGCAGGUGGCCGGUGGCGAGCCCUGUGCUCUUCGCCGGUUGUUAGCCGUCUCCGCAGUGGCACGUCGCUCGACCGAGGUAUCACGAGGCCCUCAUGGGCUCCUGUCGUCUCCUCCAAUGCAGUCGGGACAGAACGUCGCUGGUGGAAUACGCCGCUCCGCCGCACGCACACAGCGUGGGCGGUCGAACGUGCGGCACCGCAUGCGACGGCGGGUCCGUCGGAGGCCGACGGCUGGCGGCGAGUAGGUCGGUCACCCACCCGACCCGUCUUGAAACACGGACCAAGGAGUCUAACAUGUGCGCGAGUCAAUGAGUCUUGAAUAGGCUCAGGGGCGCAAUGAAAGCAAAGUCCGACGCCACGUCG
RNAcentral lists this ribosomal RNA (538 nucleotides) under Aysenoides simoi. RNAcentral describes it as "eukaryotic LSU rRNA". The record is from RNAcentral. Lineage: Eukaryota; Metazoa; Arthropoda; Arachnida; Araneae; Anyphaenidae.